UGAAACACAGCUUUCUUGUUUCCAGGAUACUGUCCAGAGAAGUCACACAAACUUAGACAUUUCUUCUUCUGAUGUCCACUUGCCAUGACUGUGUGAGGAAGGGAGAGGUCUCUGAAGUGGCUACCAGGGCCCCUUGUAGAUCUCUGUGAUGUCAUUCACUAAUGCUUUUACACUGGGUGACUCCUUCUAACAUCACCACAAUCUUCCAGUUCUAUGGAGAAUGCACUGAUUAGUUAUGGAAAAAUACUCUGAGCUACAGCAAA
Non-coding RNA from Vicugna pacos (alpaca), 263 nucleotides. NCBI's taxonomy places the organism in Eukaryota, Metazoa, Chordata, Mammalia, Artiodactyla, Camelidae. The record is from Rfam.